ACACCUCAACUCCUCAUGGUUUGCCAUGAUGGGCUUGGACUUUGGGGGCUUUGCUGGCUACUAUGGUCGGCUCCUCUCAAACAAAUCAGCUUGCCAGUGUUUGGUGGCGUCACAGGUGUGAUAACUAUCUACGCUUGUGGUCUCCCCACCAGGUAACCUUCAGCAAUGGAGGUUCGCUGGGGCUCAUAAACGUCUCUCCUCUGUGAGAGACAGCUUUUUGAAC
This 223-nucleotide unclassified non-coding RNA is filed under the name uncultured Tomentella. RNAcentral describes it as "partial internal transcribed spacer 2". The record is from RNAcentral. Lineage: Eukaryota; Fungi; Basidiomycota; Agaricomycetes; Thelephorales; Thelephoraceae.